UACGUAGGGUCCAAGCGUUAUCCGGAAUUACUGGGCGUAAAGAGCUCGUAGGUGGUUUGUCGCGUUGUUCGUGAAAUCUCACGGCUUAACUGUGAGCGUGCGGGCGAUACGGGCAGACUGGAGUACUGCAGGGGAGACUGGAAUUCCUGGUGUAGCGGUGGAAUGCGCAGAUAUCAGGAGGAACACCGGUGGCGAAGGCGGGUCUCUGGGCAGUAACUGACGCUGGAGGAGCGAAAGCGUGGGGAGCGAACAGG
Molecule: ribosomal RNA, 254 nt
Filed under: uncultured bacterium
Lineage: Bacteria
Description: partial 16S ribosomal RNA
Rfam family: Bacterial small subunit ribosomal RNA
Source: RNAcentral